AACAGCACCCUCAUAAUUUCAUGAGACAUAGAAUUAAACACUAUAAACAAGGUAAGAACGUUUUUCUCCUCACACUUUACGUAUUUCAGGGUAUAUGCACCUGAGAUUGCACUUCAAAAGCUUUAACACGGCAUAGGAGGUAGAGUCAGCUUGCUUCCCAUCAUUUUCAAAGGGUGAAGAGAAAAAAAAAAAAAAAAAAGAAAAGAAAAACUGUCCAUGUUACAUCAACAACAGGUAUGAACUUGAUUUCUGGAGCAAGAGAGUCUCUUCGCUUUUUUAAGGUUGUGCAACUCGUUCUUUCGAACGGGGUGUUUCUCCCUUUCAGGAUGGUUUUACUGUCCACAGUCACGAAAGACUAGCUAGGUCGUUUUAAGCCAUGCAUAGCUCUUCUAAUCACUAUUAAUUCUCUUUUCCCACUUUUUCUUUAGAAAGAAUGGAAAACAACAACAAAAACCAAAUCUGCAUUUUUUGCUUGCUGGCAGAUUUCCAAGAUAAAUAGGACUGUGCUCUGCCUGGAACAGCAGUCAGGCCUGCUCUCGAAAUUCACAAAAGAACACCACACACGGAGAAAAAGCGAUGGAUCUGACCGGCCAGAACCCUUUUCUCACCCUCAAAACCAGUUUCUCAAAUAUCAAACCCGGCCCCGGCCCCCAGCGCCCUGCCCCGGCCGCUCCGCGCAGUUCCCACGCACCCGCAGAGGGGUGACAGCCGAGUCGGGGCGGCUUCCCCACGGGGUGAAGGACGGGGAUAAACCGCUCUUAGGUUUACCAACGGGAGAAACUGAACCCACGUGAAGUUUUCGCUCUUUCCGCACAUCCCCUCCCCAGGUGCGUGCGGGGAUAUUUCCAUGCGCACGUCCCCUUCCCAGGUGCGCGCAUCCCCGUUUCUGGGCGCACAUCCCCUUCCCAGCGUGCGUGGAUAUUUCUCGUUUUCAAGUGGGACAAGCGGAGGUGUGGGGGCAGAGCGACAAGCAGAGGGUGCCGGAGCGGGGUUUGGUCGGCUUUUCUCCGCCGCGCUCCACAGGGAGCGGUGCGGGACGGGGCCGGCGGCAGCCCCGGGGCUGAGCCGGGCAGGGAAAGCGCUGCGGGAGCCACCGGGCGACGAGGGGAAGAGAGAAGAGCUGAACGGAGGGGGAGUGAGGAGGGGGAAGAGGAAAAAAAAAAAAACACCACCACGAAAGGAAAGAAGCACAAGCGAUGAGAUGUGCCAAGGUUUAUUCCCUUUUAUUUCCUCCACCCCCACAAAAGAAAAUAAACCUAGAAUCAGGAAGUCGGAGCUGCGGGAGCGCUACUAGAGGCUGCUCCUCCGUAAAGUGGAAUAGGACGUGAAGUGCCACUUGUCUGGGCUGGGAUCUCACUGUAAAUGGUCUGCCACCUCCUGAUUCAACAUUCAAACUUGCCACAUGCUGCUGGUAAUUUCUUUCCUCCUGUGAGGAAAGAAAUUCAGUUGCACAGCCAAUAGGAUAUGAACUGUUAUGAUUAAUUGGGAACUCCAGAACUGAAGUCCAUAAUGACAUACGGUUUGGGAGAUUACGUGCUAAAUGCCUGUGUCUAUCACAGUAUGCUGGAACACAAUGGAUUGCAAAACUGCCACUGAGUGUAUCCUGACUUGCCUCUGUGAUGCAUGUCUUCUGAGAGACGUGUUACUUUUCUCUUUCCAGUCAACUUCCUCUGGACAGUCUUUUUUUGCUGAUUGUUUAACGAGUUACUGUGCUAAUUAGGCUAAGAAAAACGUCACCCCAUUUACUUAUACUAACACAAAAGAGAUGCACGAACACAUGCCUUUAACCACGUAUUAUGUCUGUAAUCAUUUAUUAAGAUGAACUGGGUUACAAGAUAGCUUUUGAGUGAUGUAGCUGGCAUUCUGUUUUGGUUAUAUUUUGUAAAUAAUGCAAAAGAAUACUUUGAGGUAAAUUCAGACAUCCAUACAACUCUACUUAUAGGAUUGGUUCUGUGGCUGUAGCAGAGGUCAGAAACUGAUUUUACAAUGCGACAUUCAUUUCAUUCAAUUCACUUCAAAGACCCUCAUGCUGCAACCUCAUCAACUUUAUGUAUAUAUGAUUCAUUUUCAUUUAUUCAGACAAACUGAAGAAUUUUUAAAAAUGAGACAUCCAGGAAAAAAAUAAAUCAAAUUCUAGGGAUGGAAUAUUUGCAAAGUAACCUUGACUCACAAUAAAGAUCUCAGCUUGCAUUAUAUGAAAGGAAGUGCAAUUAAGACAUUGAAGAAAAGAACCUCAAAUCAAUUUUAUAGAUAAAUAUCAAACAAAAACUUAUGCCUCUAGAUACACAUGUUGAUCAUCAUGAUACCAACAUGGAAAAGAAUGGAGCUUUUAAAAUCUAAUUCAGUGUGACAGUUGAAAAACAAACUAAACAUGGGAAAAAGGAAACAUUUUUUGCGUGUGAAUUCAAAGAAUAAGCUUGACAAAGUCCUGUCCUAACAUGCUGCAAAACAAAUACUUGUAUUACAGAAUUUUUCAUGCAAUUGUUAUUCUAUGUGCUGUACUGAGCAGGAACAUUUCAUACUUAAUUCACCACCUAUCACGUCCUGUCCUUAAAUGAAUCCCCAUAAAACCAAGCAUUUGAUCCUAACUUACCUCCUCCUUCAUUCCUGACAAGGUGAGCAAGGGAAGACGAGGCAAAUUCCCAUUUAAAUUUUCUUUCCCACACUGCAAAUACCUGAUGCUGGUAGUGCAGCACUGCUAAAGCAAAUUACCAUGAAUUCUGUCUUCCCACCUUUUUGAGCAUAAAUGCAUUGUUUUCAUGACAUCUGUACUCUACUUGCCAAGGUCGCAAGAUACUUAGAGACUCUAAGACUGAGGCUUUAGACAUUUAUGAUCACAAGCAGGUCUUUCAGGCUUUUUUUUACACAACAGAACAGUUUCUGAAAGUUUGAAUUCAAAUAUGGCAUUUUUCCUAAAUAGAUGGUCACAUACCCAGCAACUGGAUUUGGUAUAACUCCUUUAAAGAUAAUGUAACUGAGUGAAUUUCAUCUUGGACAUACAAUAUUCCU
This is a long non-coding RNA of Anas platyrhynchos (mallard), 3009 nucleotides long. RefSeq lists it as uncharacterized. Lineage: Eukaryota; Metazoa; Chordata; Aves; Anseriformes; Anatidae. The record is from RefSeq and is a predicted model, not a curated record.